CAGCCGCCGCGGGAAUACGAAGGGGGCUAGCGUUGCUCGGAAUGACUGGGCGUAAAGGGCGCGUAGGCGGCAUAUACAGUCAGGCGUGAAAUUCCUGGGCUUAACCUGGGGACUGCGCUUAAUACAGGCAGUCUAGAGUGAGGAAGAGGGUUGUGGAAUUCCCAGUGUAGAGGUGAAAUUCGUAGAUAUUAGGAAGAACACCGGUGGCGAAGGCGGCGACCUGGUCCUUUACUGACGCUGAGGCGCGAAAGCGUGGGGAGCAAACAGGAUUAGAGACCCGCGUAGUCCCUGUCUCUUAUAC
This 301-nucleotide ribosomal RNA is filed under the name uncultured bacterium. RNAcentral describes it as "partial 16S ribosomal RNA". It matches the Rfam family "Bacterial small subunit ribosomal RNA", at positions 509 to 807 of the family's 1533-position model. The record is from RNAcentral.